CAGAUUGAACGCUGGCGGCAUGCCUUACACAUGCAAGUCGAACGGCAGCGCGGGAGCAAUCCUGGCGGCGAGUGGCGAACGGGUGAGUAAUACAUCGGAACGUGCCCAAUCGUGGGGGAUAACGCAGCGAAAGCUGUGCUAAUACCGCAUACGAUCUACGGAUGAAAGCAGGGGAUCGCAAGACCUUGCGCGAAUGGAGCGGCCGAUGGCAGAUUAGGUAGUUGGUGAGGUAAAGGCUCACCAAGCCUUCGAUCUGUAGCUGGUCUGAGAGGACGACCAGCCACACUGGGACUGAGACACGGCCCAGACUCCUACGGGAGGCAGCAGUGGGGAAUUUUGGACAAUGGGCGAAAGCCUGAUCCAGCCAUGCCGCGUGCAGGAUGAAGGCCUUCGGGUUGUAAACUGCUUUUGUACGGAACGAAACGGCCUUUUCUAAUAAAGAGGGCUAAUGACGGUACCGUAAGAAUAAGCACCGGCUAACUACGUGCCAGCAGCCGCGGUAAUACGUAGGGUGCAAGCGUUAAUCGGAAUUACUGGGCGUAAAGCGUGCGCAGGCGGUUAUGUAAGACAGUUGUGAAAUCCCCGGGCUCAACCUGGGAACUGCAUCUGUGACUGCAUAGCUAGAGUACGGUAGAGGGGGAUGGAAUUCCGCGUGUAGCAGUGAAAUGCGUAGAUAUGCGGAGGAACACCGAUGGCGAAGGCAAUCCCCUGGACCUGUACUGACGCUCAUGCACGAAAGCGUGGGGGAGCAAACAGGAUUAGAUACCCUGGUAGUCCACGCCCUAAACGAUGUCAACUGGGUUGUUGGGUCUUCACUGACUCAGUAACGAAGCUAACGCGUGAAGUUGACCGCCUGGGGAGUACGGCCGCAAGGUUGAAACUCAAGGAAUUGACGGGGACCCGCACAAGCGGUGGAUGAUGUGGUUUAAUUCGAUGCAACGCGAAAAACCUUACCCACCUUUGACAUGUACGGAA
Molecule: ribosomal RNA, 975 nt
Filed under: Variovorax sp. B4M-W
Lineage: Bacteria; Pseudomonadati; Pseudomonadota; Betaproteobacteria; Burkholderiales; Comamonadaceae
Description: bacterial SSU rRNA
Rfam family: Bacterial small subunit ribosomal RNA
Source: RNAcentral